GGGCGAAUGGUCUAGGGGUAUGAUACUCCCUUCGCAUCGAGUAUUAUCUCGUAAUGAGUAUGGGAGGGGUCCGGGGUUCAAUUCCCCGUUCGUCCA
Non-coding RNA from Astrocystis sublimbata, 96 nucleotides. The record is from the annotation of a GenBank genome assembly. Lineage: Eukaryota; Fungi; Ascomycota; Sordariomycetes; Xylariales; Xylariaceae.